UACGGGGGGAGCAAGCGUUGUUCGGAUUUACUGGGCGUAAAGGGCGCGUAGGCGGCGUGACAAGUCACUUGUGAAAUCUCCGGGCUUAACUCGGAACGGUCAAGUGAUACUGUCGUGCUAGAGUACAGAAGGGGCAACUGGAAUUCUCGGUGUAGCGGUGAAAUGCAUAGAUACAAUCAAGAACUCCGAUUGCGUAGGCAGCUAACUAGGCUGUAACUGACGCUGAGGCACGAAAGCGUGGGGAGCGAACAGG
This 253-nucleotide ribosomal RNA is filed under the name uncultured bacterium. RNAcentral describes it as "partial 16S ribosomal RNA". It matches the Rfam family "Bacterial small subunit ribosomal RNA", at positions 524 to 776 of the family's 1533-position model. The record is from RNAcentral.